UUCUAAAAUAGCUUAAACCUAAAGCACUAACUUUGUAACUUAGAGAUGGACAAUACUCCUUUUAGAU
This 67-nucleotide transfer RNA is filed under the name Pleurobranchaea sp. TY-2016. RNAcentral's name for it is "tRNA-Thr". It matches the Rfam family "tRNA". Rfam says of the family: Transfer RNA (tRNA) molecules are approximately 80 nucleotides in length. The record is from RNAcentral. Lineage: Eukaryota; Metazoa; Mollusca; Gastropoda; Pleurobranchida; Pleurobranchidae.